UCCUGGCUCAGAUUGAACGCUGGCGGCAGGCCUAACACAUGCAAGUCGAGCGGAAACGAAGAGGUGCUUGCACCUCUGGCGUCGAGCGGCGGACGGGUGAGUAAUGCUUGGGAAUAUGCCUUAUGGUGGGGGACAACAGUUGGAAACGACUGCUAAUACCGCAUGAUGUCUACGGACCAAAGUGGGGGACCUUCGGGCCUCACGCCAUAAGAUUAGCCCAAGUGGGAUUAGCUAGUUGGUGAGGUAAUGGCUCACCAAGGCGACGAUCCCUAGCUGGUUUGAGAGGAUGAUCAGCCACACUGGGACUGAGACACGGCCCAGACUCCUACGGGAGGCAGCAGUGGGGAAUAUUGCACAAUGGGCGCAAGCCUGAUGCAGCCAUGCCGCGUGUGUGAAGAAGGCCUUCGGGUUGUAAAGCACUUUCAGUAAGGAGGAAAGGUUAAGUGUUAAUAGCACUUAGCUGUGACGUUACUUACAGAAGAAGCACCGGCUAACUCCGUGCCAGCAGCCGCGGUAAUACGGAGGGUG
This 528-nucleotide ribosomal RNA is filed under the name Pseudoalteromonas sp. 43AN(2010). Its description in RNAcentral is "bacterial SSU rRNA". It matches the Rfam family "Bacterial small subunit ribosomal RNA", at positions 17 to 534 of the family's 1533-position model. The record is from RNAcentral. Lineage: Bacteria; Pseudomonadati; Pseudomonadota; Gammaproteobacteria; Alteromonadales; Pseudoalteromonadaceae.